This is a non-coding RNA of Nocardioides sp. Soil797, 47 nucleotides long. NCBI's taxonomy places the organism in Bacteria, Bacillati, Actinomycetota, Actinomycetes, Propionibacteriales, Nocardioidaceae. The record is from Rfam.
CUGGUUCCGGUUCACGUCCCACAUCCGGUGGUGGCGACCCGGCGACU